GACGAACGCUGGCGGCGUGCUUAACACAUGCAAGUCGAACGGAAAGGCCCUGCUUGCCGGGUACUCGAGUGGCGAACGGGUGAGUAACACGUGGGUGAUCUGCCCUGCACUUCGGGAUAAGCCUGGGAAACUGGGUCUAAUACCGGAUAGGAGCCAUUUUUAGUGUGAUGGUUGGAAAGUUUUUUCGGUGUAGGAUGAGCUCGCGGCCUAUCAGUUUGUUGGUGGGGUAAUGGCCUACCAAGGCGGCGACGGGUAGCCGGCCUGAGAGGGUGGACGGCCACAUUGGGACUGAGAUACGGCCCAGACUCCUACGGGAGGCAGCAGUGGGGAAUAUUGCACAAGGGGCGCAAGCCGGAUGCAGCGACGCCGCGUGGGGGAUGACGGCCUUCGGGUUGUAAACUCCUUUCGCUAGGGACGAAGCUUUUUGUGACGGUACCUAGAUAAGAAGCACCGGCUAACUACGUG
RNAcentral lists this ribosomal RNA (465 nucleotides) under uncultured bacterium. RNAcentral describes it as "partial 16S ribosomal RNA". It matches the Rfam family "Bacterial small subunit ribosomal RNA", at positions 28 to 507 of the family's 1533-position model. The record is from RNAcentral.